CACACAGCUACACCCCGACCCGGAGCUUUAUCUGGGCUAUGACCGACCCCCACCAAAGAAAAGAAGAAAGCUCACCCGGACUACUUUGAGUGUGACAGCUUCCAGUGAUACGAACAACACAGAAUCUGUACCCGACUCCACAGUGUUACGUUCAGUGGAAUUAGACCAGGCCAGCAUCUCCACACAACCCCCUGAGCCACAUCUGCACUCAGUCCACACACAGUGGGAGGAUCCUUCGCAACAAGACCAUCAAUACUGCAACAGGUCUCGCAGAAAAGAUGUGCAGGAUAAGAUGACUCAGUGUGAUGAAGUUGCAUAUUUCAUUCUUCAAAAUGAUGCAGACACUUUGCUGUACACUGGGAUAGCCUUAGAAACAUUUAACACACUUGUGUCGACACUGGAAGGAUAUGACAACAAUGAAUUUACAGUGCCUGUCCAAGAUCAAGUCCUCAUGACACUUAUGAAAUUAAAGAGUAACCGUGUAAUAGGUGACCUAAGCCACCAGUUUCAUAUAUCACAAAGCAUGGCCAGCAAGAUCAUCUCACACUGGUUAGACAAGCUGGAGGAAGUUCUCCGACCAUUAAUUCCAUGGCUGCCAAAAGAAACUAUUCAAGCAACUAUGCCUGAAGCCUUCAAGAAGAACUUUCCAAAUGCUACAUGCAUUAUAGACUGCAGUGAGACCCUUUUACAGAAACCCAGAAAUCUGGGCUCAAGAGGGGAAUCAUACAGCCAUUAUUAUUCACACAA
This is a long non-coding RNA of Oreochromis niloticus (Nile tilapia), 747 nucleotides long. RefSeq lists it as uncharacterized. The record is from RefSeq and is a predicted model, not a curated record. Lineage: Eukaryota; Metazoa; Chordata; Actinopteri; Cichliformes; Cichlidae. The transcript is spliced from 2 exons.